Molecule: non-coding RNA, 74 nt
Organism: Myotis lucifugus (little brown bat)
Lineage: Eukaryota; Metazoa; Chordata; Mammalia; Chiroptera; Vespertilionidae
Source: Rfam
GGCAGUUCUCAGGUGACUCACCCUGGAAUCAGGCUUUCUCUCUCUGGUUCUGGGUGCAUCACCGGAGAACCACU